CCUANGGGUGGCAGCAAUUAGGAAUCUUGCGCAAUGGGCGAAAGCCUGACGCAGCGACGUCGCGUGACCGAUGAAGUCUUUCGGGAUGUAAAGGUCUUUUUUGGGGGAAGAAGGAUGUGACGGUACCCCAAGAAUAAGCCCCGGCUAACUACGUGCCAGCAGCCGCGGUAAUACGUAGGGGGCGAGCGUUGUCCGAAUUCACUGGGCGUAAAGCGCGCGUAGGCGGGUUAUUAAGUUGGAGGUGAAAUCCCGGGGCUCAACCCCGGAACUGCCCCCAAAACUGGUAGUCUUGAGGUAUGGAGAGGGAAGUGGAAUUCCUGGUGUAGCGGUGAAAUGCGUAGAUAUCAGGAGGAACACCCGUGGCGAAGGCGGCUUCCUGGCCAUAUCCUGACGCUGAGGUGCGAAAGCUAGGGGAGCGAACGGGAUUAGAUACCCUANUANUC
RNAcentral lists this ribosomal RNA (443 nucleotides) under uncultured bacterium. RNAcentral describes it as "bacterial SSU rRNA". It matches the Rfam family "Bacterial small subunit ribosomal RNA", at positions 338 to 795 of the family's 1533-position model. The record is from RNAcentral.